This 239-nucleotide long non-coding RNA is filed under the name Pelobates cultripes (western spadefoot toad). Lineage: Eukaryota; Metazoa; Chordata; Amphibia; Anura; Pelobatidae. The record is from RNAcentral.
GUUGAGCUUGACUCCAUCCUCAACCCGAAAAGGCCCCACAAGCUCAUCUUUGAUGAUACCAGCCCAAACCAGUACUCCACCUCCACCUUGCUGGCAUCUGAGUCGGACUGGAGCUCUCUGCCCUUUACCAAUCCAGCCACGGGCCCAUCAAGACUCACUCUCAUUUCAUCAGUCCAUAAAACCUUAGAAAAAUCAGUCUUGAGAUAUUUCUUGGCCCAGUCUUGACGUUUCAGCUUGUG